CAAAACCAAAAAACCAAACCAAAGUCUUCGUUUAGCUGUGUCAAUUUUACAGACAGACCAGAGGUUAAGUGAGCUAUACCAGCUACAUCCUGUUCCCAAAAGCUCCAGGAAACCCCAGCAGUACCAGCAUGUCAACAAAGCUCCAGCUCAUUUUGAUGAUAAUGUCAUCAUUGUGCACAUGGGGCUGAAUGCUAAUGAAACAUUAUCCACUUUGAUAGACCUGAGGUGUCCUAGAAAAGUAACCACAGUGGUGUUCUGUUACAUUCUUCAGCCUCCUGUCACUCUACAGUAUACAGGAAGUGAAACCCUGUUGGUGGCACCGGUGAUCUACCCCACAGUUUCCUAGCAAACGAUGACAACAGCAAUGUGGGCAAGUGGAAUAACAGGAUACAAACUUUGCACAUGCAGACAGUGGACAGGGUUGACUCUACAUCCAGCGUGAGCUUUGGCUCUUGCACAUUUUUGCAAUCACACACACAGUCACACUGAGUAAAGGUGAAGGGUUUGAAGUUUUUCUCCUAGUGUGUUUUUCUCUGGUCGAGUCAGUGUGAUAUUUUGUCUGGCGAGGGGAUUUGCUAUGUGUGGCAUUGCAAAACAACACAGGGAUUUCUUAAAACAUGUGUAAGAGUGUGUAGGAGUGCAUGAGUGUGUGCACUUGUUAUUCAUGAGGCUCAAGGUCUUUGAUUACUUCUGAUAACAACUGCUAUGACAUAUUUAUCAAGACACCAUAAUCAUGUAAAUCAUCAGGAAAAAAAAAUCUAAUUCAAAUUCAAAUAAUCCUCUUAAAAUAGGCCUAUGUAAGUUUGGGUUCUUUCUUUGACAUAAAACAGGUUAUAUUGUGUAGCAAGGUGUCUGUUCUCAUUUAAAUACAACAAUGGCCACCCACGAUUCCAGUGGCCUUGGUUUCCAUUUUUCCCAUUCAUUUUCUGCAGAGACAUUCAAAAAAAAAAAAAAAAAAAAAAAAAAAAAAGAUUUAAUAUGAAAAAAUAUAUGCCUUGAACCAAACCAACCAACUUGGAAAUUUAUAACAUUUUUGAUUACAAACACGCUGUGAAACUGAAGAGAAUAUAUAUAUAUAUACACACACACACACACACAUAUUGAUUUUUAUUGAUUUAGCCAAUGAUUUAAAACCUCUGGGUAGUCUGGUAGUCUUGAAAGUUUUAUAUGUUAUUACUAUGUUUUUCUUUUUUCCUCUGGGGAAAAUGAAUGUGACUUUUACAUUGGGGAACCCUUCACUAUAGAUUAUGCACAAGUCUCUUCAUAAUAGAGCACAGUAGUGGUGUGCUCUUCUGUUCAAAACACCAUCUCGGGUUGAGUUACAGCAGGGCUUGGUUUGUUGGCAGCAGUGAAUGUGUCUCACAAGGUGUUGUGUGUCUGUUUGUGUGUUUUGGUCUGCAUGCACGUGCGUGUAUGAGGACAGAUUGGCUCGCGGUCGUGUGCGCUUGCUCUGCAAACUCUCUUUGUGCUUUGGAUUUAUUUAUACCAGAAGAACUUGAUGUGGCCAUAACAGAUUUGUUUGCAGACCAUUUUGGCUGUGUGUGUGUUGCACUGAAACCCCACUGUCGGCUCAUCCUGACAUCUGUGAGUCAAUUAGCUGUCUAAAGAGAAAACAUCCCCCCUUUCCACCUUGUGCACACACACGCUCACAUCGAGGGCAAGCCUCACGGCUGCCCCUGAGAGUGUGUGAACUCAGGCCGGUGUGCUCUGGUGGGGGAGGGGUGUAUAUUAGUGGGGGAGGGUAAUGGGGUUGGGUGUCAAGAAUGUGGCUGUUGGCUUGUUCUUUUGUAUGUUGUGUGUUUUAGUAAAACAGUACAGAGAUCUUACAUAUUUUACAACUUGUGCAUGAAUUAGUGCAAGUAAUAAGGUGCCAGGUGCCAUUUAAGUCUAAAAUGUAUAAUAUUUUUAUUUUAUUGUACAUGUUAUUUUUAUGUUAUUGUUUUACAUUUAAUUUUAAUUAAAUUUUAAAUAUUAUUAAACAUUUUAGUUUUAAUUACAUUUUAUUUAAAAUAUUAUUUACAAAUUAUUUAUUUUAUUUAAAUUUCAUUUGAUUUUAAUUUAAUUUAAUUACUUACUACUUAAUUACUUAAUACUAAUUUAUAAUAAAUAUGUAGUUUCAGCUUUGAAAAGAGCACUAAUGCACCUUCUGAACACUUGUGGCCUGUUUGGUCAUUUUGUGUGUCUUGAUCGAUCGGAUUGCUGUCCAAUUGCUUAUGGGUAUUUUAUUUAUACAUGGGAUCUCACACACUUUUGAGCCAUUUGACCCUAAAAGUUUUGAUAUUUUAUUUUAUUAUAUUUUAUUCUUUCCACAAAAAUAUGUUUCAGCCUCAAAAAGAAUAUUGUGAAUGCUUCAAAAGGCCUCUUUGGUAAUUGUGUGUCUUGAUUGAUCAGCUUGCUGUCCAGUUAGUUAUGAGUGUUGUAUUUAUACUUACAUAAAUGUGAUUUGACAUACAUUCAUUCUACUUUUCCAGAACUAUAUGCAAUUAUAAUGGGGCUCACUUCCUGGAUGCUGCUAAUGCCGGUUAUGAACUUUUCUGUUGAACGCUCUAUUAGCUUCAAUUAAUGUUUUAGUUUUAUUAAUGUUUUAGUUUUGUAUGUCUCAUUCAUGAUUACUCACUGUAGUGUGGAUUGUGAGGCUCUUAAACAUCCUUAUGUUGACAUAUUUCCAUUUGGGAGGAGUAAAGUUUACAUAUGUGGCCUGACCAGAUGACACAAAUGUAAAUGUAUCUGGUUGUCUCUCAAACCACCUCCUGAGGCAUCUGGGUUUACAUUUAUACUGGGUCCUAUCCUAAUCGGAUAGCUAGACCAAACAUAAACACCCCCUCAGAUCCUCCAGUUUUCCAAGUACACACACAAGCAAACUUCUGCACACACACAUCUGAAAACACAUGUGUAUCUUUCUCUUGCAGCUCAGCAUGUGGUUUCCAGCUCUUCUCUAAUGCGUCCCACAUUCUUCAUAUCGUCCCCGAUGCCCUCUGCAUCCUUAGGCUCUGCUAUGGAAAUACGCCUCAGUCUCCCCGCUAAUUAUUAAAGAAGCACCACCUCAUUAACUGGGCUAGGGGAUAAUAAAAGAUUCAUGCAGCAUUCUUAGCGUCGCUGCACGCUCAGCUCCUCUCUUGCUCUCUCCCACCUCGUCUCAUCUCCAGAGGAUUAUCAUGCAAGAUACUUAUCUGUUAUCCAUACAGGUCCCUCUCACUCUCUCAGUUUUUUGGGCUGCCAGCCAUCUUGUGUCAUGGCUGUAUGCCAAGUGCCUUCAGUCUGGAGAUUGGAGGAAAGGUUGUGAAUUAAAAUGAUUUACUAUUGUGAAAAGCGAAAGUGAAAACGCAUUAAAGUAUCUUGUGUCAUAUCUAAAAUAUGUUAAUUAAUAAUGAGAUUGAAAUCACGGGCACAGAGAAAUAACAUCUAUUUAAUUGUUAAUAAUUAAUAAUUUAAGUGUCAAAUAAAGUCGAUUUUUAUGGUAUUAGGUUUCCUUGUAUGGUGGUUUUAAUGUUUUCUCACUAGCGAUAACACAGUGGGUAGAUAUGGCUGUUUUCAAAUGUCAACAAACAAUGGCUGAAGUAAAAUGUCACCAUUGUGCUCCAAUACAUUCCAUAUGCAAAUACCCUCUUUUACAGCUCAAACCCCCAGUAAUGAAAUUCCUGUGGAAAAUGUGUCUAAUAAUCCCCGAAUGACACAAAUGACUGGUGAUUUACAAACAUUUAAAGAUCACAUUCCGGAUUCACUGAUAAGACAAUUUCUUGUGUCAUCUUUUGAAUAAACAUGACAUUCACAGGGAGAUUGUAGCGUUGCUGAAUGCUUUGGGAAUUUCCACGGCAAGGAAUCUCUGCCUAUUUCCUCCUAAGGCAAAAAGUCACUCAUUUACUUUCUAUUUCUUGUAAUUGUGGUUCUCUUAUAUCACACAUUGCCAUCCUAGUUUCAGUUUGGAAUUGGUAAUAUGACACUUCAAAUCCUUUUUUAAUACUUAUUUAAUAUUCUUAUAUCAUUUAAUUUUUUUUAUGCAAUAUUUAUGUUAUUGCAUACAAUAAAUUGUAUUACAAUACUAAUACAGGAUGUUUAAUAUGCAGGUACUUUAAUUGGAGAGCAUUCAUGGCUUGUUGCAGAGCUUUUGGAUAUUUUGUAGCCUAAUAAAAACAAAUGUGACAACACAGUGGCGUGUCAUUGAUCUCCUGUUCUGACUUCUGCCCUGUAUCCACAGAACGAGAGCUGAUGGAUAGCCCUGUCUCCAUAACCCAUUAAUAAUCAAGACUUUCAGUAUGGACAACAGUGGAGUAAACAGUGAUUUACUAACAGUGGAAAGGGAACCUCAAUACCAUUUAAGAGUUCUUUGAUGUUUACAUAUAGACUAGACCAUGUGCAGUAUAGGGACUGCAUUCAACAGGAUGUGGCUGUCCAAAAAGGGGUUUAGAGAAGUCGAAUGCAGCUCUCGCUCCCUGAAAUAAGACCCUAUCGUGCAAAAGCCAAAGACUCUGCCUCAUUGGCCGUGUAUCCACCCACUGUCCUCUCCCAUGGCCCUGACUCACCAUGUCCAGCAGCCUCCACUUCCCAGUGAUGGGGCGUUCUGUUCACCAAGAGGAAGCUCUGCAUGUAUUUAUAGACAUUUCUCGUAUGAGAAGUCUGAACAAUAACAAACCCCCACCCCCACAGCCACUUCACCACCACAACACAAAAUAUGGGGAGGAGCACAGAUAGAAUCAAACUUUAGUUUCACUGUUCGAUGAUAACAGGAAAAUAAAACUGAGAGCACUGCACUAUAGUUACGCACUAUACAGUUUACAAGGUGGUUUUUCAGCUAACAUAGAAUUGGGUAAUUUCAGUGUGACAGUAAUCAGGGAAAAAUUUGGGUUACAGUGCAGUUAUGGUGCGCUCAGAUGAUUCUAGAAUAAAAAAACUCAAUUACAUAUAUCAACAUCUGCUUAUAUGGUCUCUGGAGAACAUUAAGAAUUGAUACUUGUUCGCUGUUAAACACUUUUUAUGAAUAUGGUGCACUCUGCUGUCUUGUGACUUUUUAAAGGAUUAUAGGCCAAAAUUAUUAUUUUAUUUUAAUUUCAAUUUUGAGAAUGGUUGUCUAGCAUAAAAUUAGCCUAACAUGAAAAGAAGCUGGUUUUCAAUGCAUUAAACAUCUGUAUCCUCACAGAUUCUGUCCUGUGACACCUUUGGGGUCUUG
Long non-coding RNA from Cyprinus carpio (common carp), 5164 nucleotides. RefSeq lists it as uncharacterized. The record is from RefSeq and is a predicted model, not a curated record. The transcript has 4 exons. NCBI's taxonomy places the organism in Eukaryota, Metazoa, Chordata, Actinopteri, Cypriniformes, Cyprinidae.